CGGAACAAACACCUGCUUAUGCAAAUGAUGCAUGCAAUGCUCGUGCAUAUGAUUUGUUUUUAUUUCAAAGGAACUCUAGGGUUUUAUUUGCAAACUUUGAAAUAUUAAUCAUUUUAUCGCAUAUGGAAAUAUCUCAUUGAAUAAUUCUUUGUCUUUCCAUGUCUGGAAGUUUUUGCAAAGAAACCCCUUAAGUUCCUUGAAAAAAAAAAUUCUCAUUUUUUGAUGAUAUGGAUGCAGAUGAAUGCAUGGAUGCAUGAAUGCAACAAUCACG
This 271-nucleotide long non-coding RNA is filed under the name Lathyrus oleraceus (garden pea). RNAcentral's name for it is "Pisum sativum (pea) long non-coding RNA (PSAT_LNC033268)". Lineage: Eukaryota; Viridiplantae; Streptophyta; Magnoliopsida; Fabales; Fabaceae. The record is from RNAcentral.